This 2968-nucleotide long non-coding RNA is filed under the name Marmota monax (woodchuck). The record is from RNAcentral. Lineage: Eukaryota; Metazoa; Chordata; Mammalia; Rodentia; Sciuridae.
GCAGGGUAGCUGGUGGCAGUCGCCUUCACAAGAAUUGGUAUGUGUUGUUUUUGCCAAUUAGAAUACCGCUUGAUUUUGAUAUAAAUGGGCUAUAUACUUAUUGCCCCAGACACAUUGUAAAUCAAUCUGAGAGAUUCAGAGACCAGUAUAAAACCAUUGGGUCUAAAGUUUGUACAAGUUUCUGUGAUUCAAUAUGGCACCCUGGUAUCUAGCUCUCCUCUUUUUUGGUGGGGCGCUAUAUUGGGGAUUUAACCUGCAGGCACUUUAUCACUGAGGUACAUCCCCAGCUCUUUUUACUUUAUUUUGAGACAGUGUCUCCCUAAAUUGCUGGCCUAGAACUUGUGAUCCUGAUCAUCCUGCCUCAUGCUGGGAUUAUAGGCAUGUGCCACCUUGCCUAUAUUUUGUAACUUUUUGAGUUGUUGAGUAGUCAGUGUGAAUGAACACACAUAUUUUAGUGUGCCUCAGAAUUAAACGUGUGAAUUCUGGACUUCUCUACUGCACUGGAGAUUCAAAGGUGGGUUUCCAUGGGUCAUUCUUUAUGGAAUGCUGUGUAAACAAAUGGGAAUCUCUGCUCUUUCUUAGUGGCAUGGACUUUAGUCGUCCUUUCUACUCUUUGCCUUCUAGUCUCAUUUUGGCCAUUGACAGUUAUGCUCCUGAGAAUGUAGCUUCAUUUUACUUUAAGUAGAAAUAACUGCCAAUCUUAUUCACUUUAUACUCCAUCCUAUCACUUGUUUCUUAGGCUCAUCAAAAAACUCUGUCCUCCCUUGCUUCCUUUUAGGACAUAGAAAUAUACAUUGUGUCUAGCUGUUUGCUUUUGUUAUACCCACCAGGUCUGACAUGGAGAAUAAAUGUGAAUUCAUACCUACUUCAUAGGUCAUUAUACCUUAACUUGCUAUUAUUGCCAUAGGAUUGAACAAAGGUGAAACUUGUCUUCAGGUGGCCUGUUGAUGAAGAUGUUACAUAGUAUCCAUAAAAUUCUAAUGCAUCUUUAGGACCUAAUUACAUGAUUCAUGCAUAGAAUGCCUUAAAUUGGUGUUUAAGUACAAAUGCAUGCACAUGUUUAAGGCCAACACAGUGCUAUUCAAAUAUAUUUUUAUUUCUAUACCACAACAGAUUUUCUACCAUUUUCUAGAACUCGAAAAAUUAAAGUCAAUGACAGCGGUGAGAAGAAAAUUUGCUGUGCAGUUUUCUGUUGUGCCUACAAUCUGAGUUAUUUAUGUUUAAAAUUACAUAUUUCAAAAUAUUUCAACACUGCCCAAAUGCUUUAUAAAGACCCAGUAUUUCUUUUCUUUAAGAAGUUCUGAUUUUGUUUAUUGAAGAAGCAAAAUUAUAAUCAAGGAACAUUGAAGAGAAAAUAAUUCACCAUCAAACACAUCAGCUGAUCUUAUUUAUUUCAAUUUUCUUUCUGUCUUUGUCCAUAUACUUGCAAUUCUAAGAGGUUUGUUUUCUAAUGUUAGCUCAACCAUUAGCAAGUAUGAUCCUGAGAAAGCAUCUUAACUUUAAUAAGUAUGAAUAAGUAUGUUACUUAUUCAUGUCAUUGGGUAGUUAUGGGGAUCGAAAGAUAAUACAGGUGAAAAUGCUUUGCAUACCAUAAAGUGCCUUUAAUGCAGAAAGGGUUGUCAUUUUGAUCUAAAGCUCUUAUUAUGUGACCAUGUCUUUUGUCUCUCCAAAAGCUGUUGGCAUCUGUUUUUAGAGAGUGACAAAUACAAAAUUCUCUUUUAGAGAUUAAAGAAUCUGUAAAGAUUUCAGAGUACUUGACCCAAAGAAGAAAAGGCUGAAAAGCUAGUUACUUAAUAUCUUCAACUAUGCAAAGUCUCUGAUAAAGGGAGAGUGGGAACCAGCUGCUAUCCUUGUCUCCAGAUGUAAAUAAAAAAGUUAUGGGUUUCAAUUGAAGAGGAAAUUUAAGUUAUUUUAAGAUCAAUUUCCUGAGCAUAGGGAUUGUUAUUAAUGAGACUGGGAUAGGUAGCAUAGGUUCUAUUGCUUUCAAACUUGAAGAAUGUUACAUUUGUCUUUUGUCAUAUACAGGUAUAAAAUAAGCUGGUGGAUUCUGUGGCUCAGCAGUUCAGACAGAGCAUGGAGGGAAUGGCUUAUCACUGCUCCACAGUGACUGGUGCUUCAGUUGGGAAGACCAAAAGGCUGAGGAUCACUUACAUAAAGGGGUCGGAGUUACCUGUAGGUUUCUUCACUGAUGUGUCAAAUGCCUAGGGUCAUAUUGGGCCUCUCUCUCCCUGUGUGUCAUACCUUAUUGCUCAAGUUUUCUCCAAGAUGGCCAUCUCAGGGUGGCCGAUGACAUCUUCCAUUAUUGCUCAGAGCCCCAAGAGUAACUAUGAAAGUUGUAUGGAUUUUUAAACACUUAUUUAUAAAAAUCAUAAGACUACUUUUUUGUCUGAUUUUCUAACAAAGUUAUUGAGGUAUAAUGGUUAUACCAAAAAAACUACACAUAUUUAAUGUGUGUAAUCUGAUGAGUUUGAGCACACAUGGAUAUCUGUGAUACCUUUGUUACAGUUAAGGCAAUAAAUGUACUUAGCGCCUCCCUCAGUUUCCUUGUGCCUCCCCCUCCCUUUUAUAAUAAUGUUUAACAUGAGAUCUACCCUCUUCACAAAUUUUUGAAAUAUACAAUAUCGUACUGUUCACUAUAAGUACCAUGUUAUGCAACGGAUCUCAAAACUUAUUCAUCUAGAAUAACUGAAACUUUAUACCCAUUUCCCCCAUCUCCAGUUCCUGGAAACUGCUAUCAUAUUCUCUGCUUCUAUGGGUUUGACUCUAUUAGAUACUUCAGAUAAGUGGAACCAUGAAGUAUUUGUCCUUCCUUGACUGGCUGACUUCAAUUAGCAUAACAUCCUCUAGGUUCAACUGAAUUGUCAUAAAUGGAAAAAUUUCUUUCUUCUCAAAGACUGAAUCAUAUUCCAUUGUGUGUGUGUGUGUGUGUGUCCCAUAUUUUCUUUAUCCAUUCUGUAGAGGGACCCUG